Molecule: ribosomal RNA, 1468 nt
Filed under: uncultured Bordetella sp.
Lineage: Bacteria; Pseudomonadati; Pseudomonadota; Betaproteobacteria; Burkholderiales; Alcaligenaceae
Description: partial 16S-23S ribosomal RNA intergenic spacer
Rfam family: Bacterial small subunit ribosomal RNA
Source: RNAcentral
GAGAGGGUUCGAUUAUGGCUCAGAUUGAACGCUGGCGGGAUGCUUUGCACAUGCAAGUCGAACGGCAGCACGGACUUCGGUCUGGUGGCGAGUGGCGAACAGGUGAGUAAUGUAUCGGAACGUGCCUAAUGUGAGGAUUAACUACUGCGGCGGCGUAGCUAAUACCGCAUACGCCGGCUUCGGGGAAAGCGGGGGACCUUCGGGCCUCGCACUAUUGACGGCCGAUAUCGGUUAAAGCUGGUUGGUGGGGUAACGGCUCACCAAGGCGACGAUCCGUAGCUGGUUUGAGAGGACGACCAGCCACACUGGGACUGAGACGGCCCAGACUCCACAGGAGGCAGCGGUGGGGAAUUUUGGACAGUGGGAAACCACAGUCCAGCCAUCCCGCGUGUGCGAUGAAGGCCUUCGGGCUGUAAAGCACUUUGGCAGGAAAGAAACAGCACGGGAUAAUACCCCGUGCAACUGACCAGUACCUGCGAAUAAGCACCGGCUAACGUGCCAGCAGCCACGCGGUAAUACGUAAGUGCAAGCGUUAAUCGGAAUUACUGGGCGUAAAGCGUGCGCGGAGCGGUUCGGAAAGAAGAUGUGAAAUCCCAGAGCUUAACUGGAACUGCAUUUUUAACUGAAGCUAGAGUGUGUCAGAGGAGGUGGAAUUCCGCGUGUAGUAGUGAAGGAGAAGUGUGCAUUGGAGGAGCUACACCGAUAACGAAGGCAGCCCCUCCUGGGAUAACAUGACCGCUCACGAAAGCGUGGGAGCAAACAGGAUUAGAUACCCUGGUAGUCCACGCCUAAAACGAUGUCAACUUAGCUGUUGGGGCCUUCAGACGCGGUAGCGCAACUAACGCGUGAGAUUGACCGCCUUGAAGUACAAGUAUGAUUAAACUCGAAGAAUUGACGGGGACCCGCACCUAGCAGUGGAUGAUGUGGAUUAAUUCGAUGCAACAUAAAAAAUAACCACUACACACCAACAUAUACACGGAAUCCCGAAAAGAGAUUUGGGAGUAUAUGAAGAACCGGAACACAGGUGCUGCAUAGCUGUCGUCGGCUCUGUAUGUGAGAUGUUGGGUUAAGUCACAACGAGCGCAACCCUUGUCAUUAGUUGCUACGAAAGGGCACUCUAAUGAGACUGCCGGUGACAAACCGGAGGAAGGUGGGGAUAACGUCAAGUCCUCAUGGCCUUAUGGGUAGGGCUUCUAUCAUACAAUGGUCGGGACAGAGGGUCGCCAACCCGCGAGGAGCCAAUCCCCAGGGAAACCCGAUCGUAGUCCGGAUCGCAGUCUGCAACUCGACUGCGAAGUCAGAAUCGCUAGUAAUCGCGGAUCCCAGCAUGUGCGGUGAAUACGUUCCCGGGUCUUGUACGCACCGCCCGUCACCGUAAGUGGGUUUUACCAGAAGUAGUUAGCCUAACCGUAAGAGGCGAUUACCACAGUAGGAUUCAUGACUGGGGUGAAGUCGUAACUCAAGGUAG